This 158-nucleotide non-coding RNA is filed under the name Massilia sp. RNAcentral describes it as "Manganese sequence". The stretch from base 5 to 102 matches the Rfam family "Manganese Mn2+ riboswitch aptamer (yybP-ykoY)". From Rfam's summary of the family: This RNA was originally discovered in E. coli during a large scale screen and was named SraF. The family was later found to exist upstream of related families of protein genes in many bacteria, including the the yybP and ykoK genes in B. subtilis. The specific functions of these proteins are unknown, but this structured RNA element may be involved in their genetic regulation as a riboswitch. Lineage: Bacteria; Pseudomonadati; Pseudomonadota; Betaproteobacteria; Burkholderiales; Oxalobacteraceae. The record is from RNAcentral.
CCCCUUGGGGAGUAGCCUGCUUCCGUUAUGGAAGUUUUCGCAUCAACAUACUUGACGCCUUUGUCCUUCCGCGCGUCAUGGUGCGAAAGCCAUCCGGUUGGCAAGACCAUGGGCAUGUGAGCGUGACGAUCGGGCCACGCGCACAUGCCUUUGCUCGU